This 514-nucleotide long non-coding RNA is filed under the name Marmota monax (woodchuck). The record is from RNAcentral. Lineage: Eukaryota; Metazoa; Chordata; Mammalia; Rodentia; Sciuridae.
CAAUAGUAUCACCAGAGGUUAUGUCCUUGUUUAUUUGUUUGUUUCUUUUUUUAAAUUCUCUGUUCUUGUGCUCUAUCCCAGAAUGGCCAAACCAGGUGGUCAAGGAUAGAGAUUUGUAAAGAAGAGAAAGAGUAAACAUAAUUUAUUUUUAUCUUUAUCAGUGACCAAUGGACACUCAGAAUGGAUUAGAAUUUAUCUAGUUGAUUGGCUCAGCACUUUUAUGUCAGUAGGACACAUUCUUAAUUAUGAGGGAGAACUAUAAAAGCUUUACCUUGACUGUAAAUUCACAAUUGUCUCAAUGAAAGGAGAAGGCAUCAAUGGAUCCAGUUGUGGUCCUGCUUCUGAGUCUCUUCUGUUUGCUUCUGCUUUCACUAGGGAGACAGAAGUCUGGGAGAGGGAAGCUCCCACCUGGCCCUACUCCUCUCCCAAUUCUUGGGAAUAUUCUUCAAAUAGAUGCUAAGAACAUCAAGAAGUCUUUAAACAAUGUAAGUAUGCCCAUGCUCUUCCAGUGGCU